RNAcentral lists this ribosomal RNA (253 nucleotides) under uncultured bacterium. Its description in RNAcentral is "partial 16S ribosomal RNA". It matches the Rfam family "Bacterial small subunit ribosomal RNA", at positions 524 to 776 of the family's 1533-position model. The record is from RNAcentral.
UACGGGGGGGGCAAGCGUUGUUCGGAAUUACUGGGCGUAAAGGGCUCGUAGGUGGCCAACUAAGUCAGACGUGAAAUCCCUCGGCUUAACCGGGGAACUGCGUCUGAUACUGGAUGGCUUGAGUUUGGGAGAGGGAUGCGGAAUUCCAGGUGUAGCGGUGAAAUGCGUAGAUAUCUGGAGGAAUACCGGUGGCGAAGGCGGGUCUCUGGGCAGUAACUGACGCUGAGGAGCGAAAGCGUGGGGAGCGAACAGG